RNAcentral lists this ribosomal RNA (383 nucleotides) under uncultured bacterium. Its description in RNAcentral is "bacterial SSU rRNA". It matches the Rfam family "Bacterial small subunit ribosomal RNA", at positions 29 to 412 of the family's 1533-position model. The record is from RNAcentral.
AUUGAACGCUGGCGGAAUGCUUUACACAUGCAAGUCGAGCGGCAGCGCGGGGCAACCUGGCGGCGAGCGGCGAACGGGUGAGUAAUGCAUCGGAACAUGUCCAUUCGUGGGGGACAGCCCGGCGAAAGCCGGAUUAAUACCGCAUACGCCCUUUGGGGGAAAGCGGGGGACUUCGCAAGAGGCCUCGCGCGAAUGGGUUGGCCGAUGUCCGAUUAGCUAGUUGGUGGGGUAAAGGCNCACCAAGGCGAUGAUCGGUAGCUGGUCUGAGAGGAUGAUCAGCCACACUGGGACUGAGACACGGCCCAGACUCCUACGGGAGGCAGCAGUGGGGAAUUUGGACAAUGGGGGCAACCCUGAUCCAGCCAUUCCGCGUGAGUGAAGAA